This 68-nucleotide transfer RNA is filed under the name Anolis cybotes (large-headed anole). RNAcentral describes it as "tRNA-Ser specifying AGY codons". Lineage: Eukaryota; Metazoa; Chordata; Lepidosauria; Squamata; Anolidae. The record is from RNAcentral.
AAGAGACGUAUUGAACACCAAGAACUGCUAAUUCUUACUACUGGAGUUAAAAUCUACCAGGCCUCUUA